RNAcentral lists this ribosomal RNA (587 nucleotides) under uncultured organism. RNAcentral describes it as "bacterial SSU rRNA". It matches the Rfam family "Bacterial small subunit ribosomal RNA", at positions 45 to 673 of the family's 1533-position model. The record is from RNAcentral.
UGCUUAACACAUGCAAGUCGAACGCAACCUUCGGGUUGAGUGGCGGACGGGUGAGUAACGCGUGAGAAUCUGCCUUGGGGUCGGGGACAACCACUGGAAACGGUGGCUAAUACCGGAUAAGCCUUUGGGUAAAAAAUUUAUUGCCCCAAGAGGAGCUCGCGUCUGAUUAGCUAGUUGGUGAGGUAAAAGCUCACCAAGGCAGCGAUCAGUAGCUGGUCUGAGAGGACGAUCAGCCACACUGGGACUGAGACACGGCCCAGACUCCUACGGGAGGCAGCAGUGGGGAAUUUUCCGCAAUGGGCGAAAGCCUGACGGAGCAAGACCGCGUGAGGGAGGAAGGCUCUUGGGUUGUAAACCUCUUUUCUCAGGGAAGAAGCUCUGACGGUACCUGAGGAAUCAGCCUCGGUUAACUCCGUGCCAGCAGCCGCGGUAAUACGGAGGAGGCAAAGCGUUAUCCGGAAUUAUUGGGCGUAAAGCGUCCGCAGGUGGCGAUUCCAAGUCUGCUGUCAAAGCACGGGGGCUUAACUCCGUUAAGGCAGUGGACACUGAAUAGCUAGAGUGCCGUAGGGGUAGAGGGGAAUUCCCGG